AUGGCCGGCAUCAUGCACAAGAUCGAGGAGAAGCUCCACAUGGGCGGCGGCAGCGACGAGCACAAGAAGGACGAGGAGCACAAGAAGGCGGAGGAGCACAAGAAGAAGGACGGGGAGCACAAGGAGGGCAUGAUGGAGAAGAUCAAGGACAAGAUCAGCGGCGACGGCAAGAAGGACGGCGACCACAAGGAGAAGAAGGACAAGAAGAAGAAGAAGGACAAGAAGCACGGCGAGGGCCACAAGGACGACGACGGCCACGGCAGCAGCAGCAGCGACAGCGACAGCGACUGA
Molecule: ribosomal RNA, 291 nt
Filed under: Triticum aestivum (bread wheat)
Lineage: Eukaryota; Viridiplantae; Streptophyta; Magnoliopsida; Poales; Poaceae
Description: partial small subunit ribosomal RNA
Source: RNAcentral